CCCUAGUAACUGCGAGUGAAGCGGGAAAAGCUCAAAUUUAAAAUCUGGCAGUAUUUAACUGUCCGAAUUGUAACCUAGAGAAGUAUUGCCCGUGCUGGACCAUGUAUAAGUCUCCUGGGAUGGAGCGUCACAGAGGGUGAGAAUCCCGUGUUUGACAUGGACUACCCAGUACAUUGUGGUAUGCUCUCAAAGAGUUGAGUUGUUUGGGAAUGCAGCUCUAAAUGGGUGGUAAAUUCCAUCUAAAGCUAAAUAUAGGCGAGAGACCGAUAGCGAACAAGUACCGUGAGGGAAAGAUGAAAAGAACUUUGGAAAGAGAGUUAAACAGUAUGUGAAAUUGUUGAAAGGGAAACGCUUGAAGUCAGUCAUGUUGAUCAGGGAUCAAGUCAGUUUAUUUGCUGGCUGUACUUCCUGGUCAAUGGGUCAACAUGAGUUUUGACUGCUAGAGAAAGGCAAUGGGAAUGUAGGAUCCUUUUGGGAUGUGUUUAUAGCCCUAUGUCAUAUAUAGCAGUUGGGACUGAGGAUAGCAGCGCGCCGCAAAGGCAGGGUUUCGACCACGUUCGCGCUUAGGAUGUUGGCAAUAAUGGCUUUAAGCGACCCGUCUUGAAACACGGACCAAGGAGUCUAACAUGCGUGCGAGUGUUUGGGUGGAAAACCCUUUCGCGUAAUGAAAGUGAAAGUUGAGAACCCUUUUAGGAGGGAGCAUCGACGCCCGGACCAGAACUUUUGGGACGGAUCUGCGGUAGAGCAAGCAUGUUGGGACCCGAAAGAUGGUGAACUAUGCCUGAAUAGGGCGAAGCCAGAGGAAACUCUGGUGGAGGCUCGUAGCGAUUCUGACGUGCAAAUCGAUCGUCGAAUUUGGGUAUAGGG
Molecule: ribosomal RNA, 867 nt
Filed under: Amanita sp.
Lineage: Eukaryota; Fungi; Basidiomycota; Agaricomycetes; Agaricales; Amanitaceae
Description: LSU rRNA
Rfam family: Eukaryotic large subunit ribosomal RNA
Source: RNAcentral